Molecule: ribosomal RNA, 472 nt
Filed under: uncultured bacterium
Lineage: Bacteria
Description: partial 16S ribosomal RNA
Rfam family: Bacterial small subunit ribosomal RNA
Source: RNAcentral
GACGAACGCUGGCGGCGUGCUUAACACAUGCAAGUCGAACGCUGAAGCUUGGUGCUUGCCCUGGGUGGAUGAGUGGCGAACGGGUGAGUAAUAAGUGAGUAACCUGCCCUUGACUCUGGGAUAAGCCUGGGAAACUGGGUCUAAUACUGGAUACGACAUGUCACCGCAUGGUGGUGUGUGGAAAGGGAUUUACUGGUUUUGGAUGGGCUCACGGCCUAUCAGCUUGUUGGUGGGGUAAUGGCUCACCAAGGCGACGACGGGUAGCCGGCCUGAGAGGGUGACCGGCCACACUGGGACUGAGACACGGCCCAGACUCCUACGGGAGGCAGCAGUGGGGAAUAUUGCACAAUGGGCGGAAGCCUGAUGCAGCGACGCCGCGUGAGGGAUGACGGCCUUCGGGUUGUAAACCUCUUUCAGCACGGAAGAAGCGAAAGUGACGGUACGUGCAGAAGAAGCGCCGGCUAACUACGUG